ACGAUAGAGGAAUUGAAUCAUACGUUAACUAGACCUAGAGAUUCAUUUCAGUUUUAUUGGGUUGCCACUACAUACUGCUAGAUGUCACUGGUGGAUUGUGAGAGCUCACUAGGAUCAUUUUGAAUCGACAAUCCUUGCUAGGUUAGAAGUAAAAUUGUUCUGACCCAUUGAAAAGAGUUUCAACGAUACAAUGAUAGAGAUCAUUGUAUAUCUCACUACCAGAU
This 224-nucleotide long non-coding RNA is filed under the name Elaeis guineensis (African oil palm). RNAcentral's name for it is "long non-coding RNA (EGUI_LNC070265)". The record is from RNAcentral. Lineage: Eukaryota; Viridiplantae; Streptophyta; Magnoliopsida; Arecales; Arecaceae.